Bubalus bubalis (water buffalo) is the source of this 411-nucleotide long non-coding RNA. RefSeq lists it as uncharacterized. Lineage: Eukaryota; Metazoa; Chordata; Mammalia; Artiodactyla; Bovidae. The record is from RefSeq and is a predicted model, not a curated record. The transcript is spliced from 2 exons.
ACAGAUUUCCCAGGAACAACAGAGAUAAUUUGUCUGCUGCAUGGUUUGUUAGGAGAGAAACUGGGCUCUGGUGACUGCGUGGCUUGUAGACUAGGCCCAUGGCCUUUCACUUCAUCCUGCUCUUGCCUGCUGGUUCUCCCAGCCAUGCCGAUUAGAAGCGGGAGAAAUUAAGAUCUCCCCCUCGCUGCCCACCCGCCACAGGCUGCAGGAGCUGCUAGUUUGGAAGAAUUUGUUCAAAGCAAGGAACUUCUGCCCACAGUCAUCCCUUCCAUCUCUCCACUUCUACCCUUGGGCCUAAGACUUCACUGCCUCAGCUGUUGAGUAGACUUCUCUUGACAUCAUUAAUGUGCCCAAGAUGCCCUGUUUGCACAUAUUUGUGUGCCUUCCAAUUAAAAUGAUUCAUUAAACCUC